GGGGAAUUUUCCGCAAUGGGCGCAAUCCUGACGGAGCAAUACCGCGUGAGGGAGGAAGGCUCUUGGGUCGUAAACCUCUUUUCUCAGGGAAGAACAAAAUGACGGUACCUGAGGAAUCAGCAUCGGCUAACUCCGUGCCAGCAGCCGCGGUAAUACGGAGGAUGCAAGCGUUAUCCGGAAUGAUUGGGCGUAAAGCGUCCGUAGGUGGUUAUGUAAGUCUGUGGUUAAAGCGUGGGGCUCAACCCCAUAAAGGCCAUGGAAACUACAAGACUUGAGUGAAGUAGGGGUAGAGGGAAUUCCCAGUGUAGCGGUGAAAUGCGUAGAGAUUGGGAAGAACACCGGUGGCGAAAGCGCUCUACUGGACUUAAACUGACACUGAGGGACGAAAGCUAGGGGAGCGAAAGGGAUUAGAUACCCCUGUAGUCCUAGCCGUAAACGAUGGAUACUAGGUGUUGCCCGUAUCGACCCGGGCAGUGCCGUAGCUAACGCGUUAAGUAUCC
This 500-nucleotide ribosomal RNA is filed under the name uncultured cyanobacterium. RNAcentral describes it as "bacterial SSU rRNA". It matches the Rfam family "Bacterial small subunit ribosomal RNA", at positions 356 to 869 of the family's 1533-position model. The record is from RNAcentral. Lineage: Bacteria; Bacillati; Cyanobacteriota.